UCGGUUUGCAAGAAGAUUUAAACUUCUGUUUUUAGAGCCACAGCCUA
RNAcentral lists this transfer RNA (47 nucleotides) under Phymaturus extrilidus. Its description in RNAcentral is "tRNA-Ser". The record is from RNAcentral. Lineage: Eukaryota; Metazoa; Chordata; Lepidosauria; Squamata.